GGGUUAAGUCCCGCAACGAGCGCAACCCUCGACCUUAGUUGCCAGCAUUCAGUUGGGCACUCUAAGGUGACUGCCGGUGACAAACCGGAGGAAGGUGGGGAUGACGUCAAGUCAUCAUGGCCCUUACGGCCUGGGCUACACACGUGCUACAAUGGUCGGUACAAAGGGUUGCCAAGCCGCGAGGUGGAGCUAAUCCCAUAAAACCGAUCGUAGUCCGGAUCGCAGUCUGCAACUCGACUGCGUGAAGUCGGAAUCGCUAGUAAUCGUGAAUCAGAAUGUCACGGUGAAUACGUUCCCGGGCCUU
This 304-nucleotide ribosomal RNA is filed under the name uncultured Pseudomonas sp. Its description in RNAcentral is "bacterial SSU rRNA". It matches the Rfam family "Bacterial small subunit ribosomal RNA", at positions 1077 to 1382 of the family's 1533-position model. Lineage: Bacteria; Pseudomonadati; Pseudomonadota; Gammaproteobacteria; Pseudomonadales; Pseudomonadaceae. The record is from RNAcentral.